UGGCAGAAAAGAGGCUAUUUUCGCCACCAAUCAGGAGUUGCCACGUCAGAUAUUCAAUGAGGCCUCAAUACACUCUAUCACACAGGAUUGUAGCUCAAAUAAAACCAAAAAUCACCAAACAGAACAGAACGUGUUCAGAAGCCCUCUCCUCUAACCAACGGAGCUGCCAACGCCUCCUCUCCUCUGCCCAAACAGAGCUGCCAACGCCUCCUCUCCUCUGAUGAACGAAGCUCCUCCUCGCCGCUGGAGCCGCUGCGGCGUCGUUCUAAGUCGUCGCCCACGCACCCAAAUACCGCGGCCUUGCAUACAAUUAGUGCCAUUUGCAAAGGUUAGCAGCAACAUGACACUCACUCAACCAUAUGUCCUUAGCCUUCUGAAUGGCAUUAGUGGCUGACUUCCUCAAAUCUGAGUCCAGAACCUUUACUUUGGUCCUUCAUUUUUACUAUGGUUGUUGAAUUGUCCACCGUGAACCUAGGCCUUUGGGACACAACUGGUAUCAUUUAUUUGAUAGAUAUUAUCAUAUUCUUAGUUUCAAAUAUAAUUUUAUAUUACUUGUAAUUUCAAUUUUUUCCUACUUGUAAUGUCAAUUUGCUCUCUAUAUGUACCAGAGUGCAAUUAAAGAUGUAGUUGGAGCUGUUUUAUGUAGUGUUUAUUGAGUUGUUGAGCAGGGUGUUCAAAUGUACCCUGCCUUUGUUGUGCUUAUGUGGAAUUAAUUUGAAUUUCUAAAAAUUCAAAUUGCAACCAGUUUUGUAUUAAGUUGUUGGAUUUACUCUUUACUUGUAUCCUAAAACAAGUUUGAAAUUAAACAAGUUUGCCAAAUUGGGCAAGUUUGGUAUUGUAAUAGCACAAUAUUUGAAUUUAUUCUCAAUCGUUUCUUAUGAA
This is a long non-coding RNA of Quercus robur (English oak), 882 nucleotides long. RefSeq lists it as uncharacterized. Lineage: Eukaryota; Viridiplantae; Streptophyta; Magnoliopsida; Fagales; Fagaceae. The transcript is spliced from 3 exons. The record is from RefSeq and is a predicted model, not a curated record.